Molecule: long non-coding RNA, 391 nt
Organism: Rhipicephalus microplus (southern cattle tick)
Lineage: Eukaryota; Metazoa; Arthropoda; Arachnida; Ixodida; Ixodidae
Source: RefSeq, a predicted model, not a curated record
ACAUCGAGCACUGCAAGUUUCGUCCAGGGCUGCUGGUGGACAUUAUGGACUCUCUCGCUGUUAAGGUCAACUGCAUGACAGAGUACGAGCGCCAUGCGUGCCUCAUGAUGGAUGAGAUGCAGAUCACCCCAAGCCUCAUAUAUGAUCCUUCGGCUGACGCAGUACUGGGCAGACCUACGAUUCCCUUGGCAGAUGGCAGCCUCCCUGCAGACACCUUGGCUACCCAUGGCCUCGUAUUUAUGCUGGGUGGUGUUACUACCAGGUGGAAGCAGGUCAUUGGGUACCAUUUGACUGGAAAUUGUUUUCAUGCACUCUCUGUCAAGCAAGAACUCUUGAAAAUGAUAAGAGCAUGUGAAGACAUUGGCCUUAAAAUAGAUGCUGUUGUUUCAGA